Molecule: ribosomal RNA, 253 nt
Filed under: uncultured bacterium
Lineage: Bacteria
Description: partial 16S ribosomal RNA
Rfam family: Bacterial small subunit ribosomal RNA
Source: RNAcentral
UACGUAGGGUGCGAGCGUUAAUCGGAAUUGCUGGGCGUAAAGUGUGCGCAGGCGGCCGCGCAAGUCGAGUGUGAAAUCCCCGAGCUUAACUUGGGAAUUGCGCUCGAAACUACGUGGCUGGAGUGUGGCAGAGGAAGGUGGAAUUCCACGUGUAGCGGUGAAAUGCGUAGAUAUGUGGAGGAACACCGAUGGCGAAGGCAGCCUUCUGGGCCAACACUGACGCUCAUGCACGAAAGCGUGGGGAGCAAACAGG